GCGGGCAUCGUAUAAAGGAUAUUACCUCAGCCUUCCAAGCUGAUGAUGCGGGUUCAAUUCCCGCUGACCGCUACA
RNAcentral lists this transfer RNA (75 nucleotides) under Buchnera aphidicola (Cinara pseudotaxifoliae). Its description in RNAcentral is "transfer RNA Glycine". It matches the Rfam family "tRNA". From Rfam's summary of the family: Transfer RNA (tRNA) molecules are approximately 80 nucleotides in length. Their secondary structure includes four short double-helical elements and three loops (D, anti-codon, and T loops). RNAcentral also lists the same sequence under 1 other name. The record is from RNAcentral. Lineage: Bacteria; Pseudomonadati; Pseudomonadota; Gammaproteobacteria; Enterobacterales; Erwiniaceae.